GAGAGAGAGAGAGAGAGAGAGAGAGAGAGAGAGAGAGAGAGAGAGGGAGAAUAUUUUUUUUUAUGUUUUGUUUUCUUUUUUUUUCUUUUCCUUGUGUUUUGUCUUGAGAGAAAGAGAAAGAGAAACAAGUGGAUAAUCAUGUGUGUGAGAAAGGUGGAUAAGAGAUAGACGGCGAUAAAGUGGAAUUGAAGAAGAAGAAAAGAAAGAAAAAUCACGAGAGAAAAAGAAAAAAGGGAGAAAUAGAGAUAAAGAAAAGGACUGAGAGAAGGAGGAGGAGAAGGAGAAGAAACGGCGAAUAAACGAGGGAAGAAGCAAACCCGGAUAAAGAAGAAGAGAGAAAAAGGGAAACGAAUGGACGAAUAAAGAAGAGGGAAGACCAGGCGUAGAGGAGAAUGAAGGAGAAUGAGGAGGUAAGAGA
Molecule: long non-coding RNA, 418 nt
Organism: Penaeus monodon (black tiger shrimp)
Lineage: Eukaryota; Metazoa; Arthropoda; Malacostraca; Decapoda; Penaeidae
Exons: 2
Source: RefSeq, a predicted model, not a curated record